CCGCGCAUUUACGCGCAAUUAAGCUUUCUCGCAUAUUACUUAAAUUGUCCUUGUUUGGACACCGAGUGGCUCCUGUCCACUCUGUUUGACGCCUCCCUGUUAUCAACUUUAAAGCCGCCGGAAACGGCGGCUCUUUUUUG
RNAcentral lists this small RNA (140 nucleotides) under Tardiphaga robiniae. RNAcentral describes it as "Rhodopseudomonas sp. R-45977 Alphaproteobacterial sRNA BjrC1505". It matches the Rfam family "Alphaproteobacterial sRNA BjrC1505". Lineage: Bacteria; Pseudomonadati; Pseudomonadota; Alphaproteobacteria; Hyphomicrobiales; Nitrobacteraceae. The record is from Rfam by way of RNAcentral.